RNAcentral lists this ribosomal RNA (746 nucleotides) under uncultured Glomerales. RNAcentral describes it as "LSU rRNA". It matches the Rfam family "Eukaryotic large subunit ribosomal RNA", at positions 38 to 633 of the family's 3401-position model. Lineage: Eukaryota; Fungi; Glomeromycota; Glomeromycetes; Glomerales; Glomeraceae. The record is from RNAcentral.
GCAUAUCAAUAAGCGGAGGAAAAGAAAAUAACAAUGAUUCCCUUAGUAACGGCGAGUGAAGGGGGAUAAGCUCAAAUUUUAAAUCUGCUAGGUCUUACCUAUCAGAGUUGUAAUUUGAAGAAGCGUUUUCCGCGUCUCGGUUGACCCAAAUCCUUUGGGAUACGGUAUCAUGGAGGGUGAGAAUCCCGUUCGGUUGACCUUAUGACGCUUUACGAUACGUUUUCUAAGAGUCGAGUUGUUUGGGAUUGCAGCUCAAAAUGGGAGGUAAAUUUCUCCUAAGGCUAAAUAUUGGCGAGAGACCGAUAGCGAACAAGUACCGUGAGGGAAAGAUGAAAAGAACUUUGAAAAGAGAGUAAAAUAGUACGUGAAAUUGUUGAAAGGGAAACGAUUGAAGUCAGUCGUACCGACGGAAAAUCAGCUCUUUAGUGCGGACUUGUGGGCUUACGUGAGUUUUAACACCUCGCUGUUUGCAACGUUCGUGCUUUUUGGGUGUACUUUUUCGUAUGGUAGGCCAAUGUCAGUUUCGAUUGCUAUAAAAUGACCGGCGGAAUGUAGCUUCGAUCUUGUAUUGAAGUGUUAUAGCCUCUGGUAGAUGUGGUGAUCGGGACUGAGGAUUGCAACGAAUACCUUUUGGGCUAUCCGUCUGAUCUCUGAAGGUUGCUUAGGUGCCGAAAGCGUGCUUACGGUUAUUUAAGUUGACAGUCAAAAGGUUAGAACGGAUUAUAUUCGUUAAGGAUGUUGACGUA